Molecule: non-coding RNA, 685 nt
Filed under: Pongo abelii (Sumatran orangutan)
Lineage: Eukaryota; Metazoa; Chordata; Mammalia; Primates; Hominidae
Source: RNAcentral
GACCCCGGAAGUGCUUGCUGCGCAGGACCCCUUGAAAAAAAAUGAGGACCCGUCUUUUUUAGGUCACAAGAUUGCGCCAACCCUCACAUGGUCCUUAAAAAAAAAACCUUCUGACACUGCAGUAGUGAAAAUGAAGUGCACGAUGGGCGGAAGCUAGGAAGACACUUAAAGAUGAAGUGCUUAAUUCAAGGUCACAGAAUGUCGGGGAUGGACCUCCAGAUUUCCUUACUGACCUGCAUUAUCUUGUGGAUACCUGAGUGAAUUCCACACCACCCAUUUUAUAGAUGAAGCCACUGAGACGUGGAGCAACUGACUGAGUAGUCACUGCCCCACCCCUGCCUGGAGCCUCACACAUGACUUCUCUUAGUGACCACAGGUUGGUUGAGGGGUUUAACAAGGCUAAGAAGGUGAGACGUGGUCUUGUAACACAGUGGUUAAGAAUGUGACUUUGGAGCCAGCCUGCUAGGGGCUGAAUUCUGACUCAGCCAUUUAUUAACUGUGUGACCUUAGGUAAGUCAUUUACCUUCUCUGUCCCUCAGUUUCAUCUUGGUAAAGUAGGGAUAAUGAUAGAACUUAUUUUAUAGGGUUAUUGUGAGGAAUAAAUCCAAGUAAAAUGCUUAGAAUAGUAACUGAAACAUAGCACUCAUUAAGUAUGCUUUAAUUUUCAUUUAUUUGAAUAUUAAAG